UGGGGAAUCUUGGACAAUGGGCGCAAGCCUGAUCCAGCCAUGCCGCGUGAGUGAAGAAGGCCUUCGGGUUGUAAAGCUCUUUUACCAGGGACGAUAAUGACGGUACCUGGAGAAUAAGCCCCGGCAAACUUCGUGCCAGCAGCCGCGGUAAUACGAAGGGGGCUAGCGUUGUUCGGAAUCACUGGGCGUAAAGCGCACGUAGGCGGAUAGUUAAGUCAGGGGUGAAAUCCUGGGGCUCAACCCCAGAACUGCCUUUGAUACUGGCUGUCUCGAGGUCGAGAGAGGUUGGUGGAAUUCCUAGUGUAGAGGUGAAAUUCGUAGAUAUUAGGAAGAACACCAGUGGCGAAGGCGGCCAACUGGCUCGAUACUGACGCUGAGGUGCGAAAGCGUGGGGAGCAAACAGGAUUAGAUACCCAUGUAGUCCCUGAGCGGGCUGGCAAGGCGCAU
RNAcentral lists this ribosomal RNA (447 nucleotides) under uncultured bacterium. Its description in RNAcentral is "bacterial SSU rRNA". It matches the Rfam family "Bacterial small subunit ribosomal RNA", at positions 355 to 825 of the family's 1533-position model. The record is from RNAcentral.